Molecule: ribosomal RNA, 561 nt
Filed under: uncultured bacterium
Lineage: Bacteria
Description: bacterial SSU rRNA
Rfam family: Bacterial small subunit ribosomal RNA
Source: RNAcentral
CCUACGGGAGGCAGCAGUGGGGAAUUUUCCGCAAUGGGCGAAAGCCUGACGGAGCAAUACCGCGUGAGGGAGGAAGGCUCUUGGGUUGUAAACCUCUUUUUUCAGGGAAGAUAAUGACGGUACCUGAGGAAUAAGCAUCGGCUAACUCCGUGCCAGCAGCCGCGGUAAUACGGAGGAUGCAAGCGUUAUCCGGAAUGAUUGGGCGUAAAGCGUCCGCAGGUGGUUUUAAAAGUCUGUUGUUAAAGCGUGAGGCUUAACCUCAUAAGGGCAAUGGAAACUGUAAGACUAGAGUACGUUCGGGGCAAGGGGAAUUCCCAGUGUAGCGGUGAAAUGCGUAGAGAUUGGGAAGAACACCGGUGGCGAAAGCGCCUUGCUAGGCCGUAACUGACACUGAGGGACGAAAGCUAGGGGAGCGAAUGGGAUUAGAUACCCCAGUAGUCCUAGCCGUAAACGAUGGAUACUAGGCGUUGUCUGUAUCGACCCGGACAGUGCCGUAGCUAACGCGUUAAGUAUCCCGCCUGGGAGUACGCACGCAAGUGUGAAACUCAAAGGAAUUGACGG